GAUGAACGCUAGCGGCAGGCUUAAUACAUGCAAGACGAACGGCAAGUUGAGUAGCAAUACUUAACCUAGAGUGUCGCACGGGUGCGUAACACGUAUGCAACCUACCUAUAACAGGAGGAUAGCUCGGGGAAACUCGGAUUAACCCUCCAUAAUAUCAUUGACUGGCAUCAGUUGAUGAUUAAAACUCCGGUGGUUAUAGAUGGGCAUGCGUCUGAUUAGUUAGUUGGUGAGGUAACGGCUCACCAAGACGAUGAUCAGUAGGGGUAACUGAGAGGUUGAUCCCCCACACUGGCACUGACGAUACGGGCCAGACUCCUACGGGAGGCAGCAGUAGGGAAUAUUGGUGCAAUGGAUGCAAGUCUGAACCAGCCAUGCCGCGUGCAGGAAGAAGGCCUUCUGGGUUGUAAACUG
Molecule: ribosomal RNA, 411 nt
Filed under: uncultured bacterium
Lineage: Bacteria
Description: bacterial SSU rRNA
Rfam family: Bacterial small subunit ribosomal RNA
Source: RNAcentral